This 292-nucleotide ribosomal RNA is filed under the name uncultured bacterium. RNAcentral describes it as "partial 16S ribosomal RNA". The record is from RNAcentral.
GGACUACAGGGGUAUCUAAUCCUGUUUGCUCCCCACGCUUUCGCGUCUCAGCGUCAGUCACGUCCCAGCGAGCUGCCUUCGCCAUUGGUGUUCCUCCUGAUAUCUGCGCAUUUCACCGCUACACCAGGAAUUCCACUCGCCUCUUCCGGACUCGAGCUUGACAGUAUCCACCCGCCUCCCGGGGUUGAGCCCCGGGCUUUCAGAGCGGACUUACCAAGCCGCCUACACGCGCUUUACGCCCAAUGAUUCCGGACAACGCUUGCCCCCUACGUAUUACCGCGGCUGCUGGCAC